This 457-nucleotide unclassified non-coding RNA is filed under the name uncultured Glomus. RNAcentral describes it as "SSU rRNA". It matches the Rfam family "Eukaryotic small subunit ribosomal RNA", at positions 569 to 1032 of the family's 1831-position model. The record is from RNAcentral. Lineage: Eukaryota; Fungi; Glomeromycota; Glomeromycetes; Glomerales; Glomeraceae.
AGCAGCCGCGGUAAUUCCAGCUCCAAUAGCGUAUAUUAAAGUUGUUGCAGUUAAAAAGCUCGUAGUUGAAUUUCGGGACUAAUAUGUCGGUCGUGCCUCGGUACGUACUGGUUUAUUGGUUUCUCCUUUCUGAAGAACCAUGAUGUCAUUUAUUUGGUGUCGUGGGGAAUCAGGACUGUUACUUUGAAAAAAUUAGAGUGUUUAAAGCAGGCUCACGCUUGAAUACAUUAGCAUGGAAUAAUGAAAUAGGACGUUUGAUUCUAUUUUGUUGGUUUCUAGGAUCGACGUAAUGAUUAAUAGGGAUAGUUGGGGGCAUUAGUAUUCAAUUGUCAGAGGUGGAAUUCUUGGAUUUAUUGAAGACUAACUACUGCGAAAGCAUUUGCCAAGGAUGUUUUCAUUAAUCAAGAACGAAAGUUAGGGGAUCGAAGACGAUCAGAUACCGUCGUAGUCUUAACCA